Molecule: ribosomal RNA, 253 nt
Filed under: uncultured bacterium
Lineage: Bacteria
Description: partial 16S ribosomal RNA
Rfam family: Bacterial small subunit ribosomal RNA
Source: RNAcentral
UACGUAGGGGGCUAGCGUUGUCCGGAAUCAUUGGGCGUAAAGCGCGUGUAGGCGGUUCGGUAAGUCCGCUGUGAAAGUCGGGGGCUCAACCCUCGAAUGCCGGUGGAUACUGUCGGACUAGAGUACGGAAGAGGCGAGUGGAAUUCCUGGUGUAGCGGUGAAAUGCGCAGAUAUCAGGAGGAACACCAAUUGCGAAGGCAGCUCGCUGGGACGUUACUGGCGCUGAGACGCGAAAGCGUGGGGAGCAAACAGG